Molecule: long non-coding RNA, 978 nt
Filed under: Elaeis guineensis (African oil palm)
Lineage: Eukaryota; Viridiplantae; Streptophyta; Magnoliopsida; Arecales; Arecaceae
Description: long non-coding RNA (EGUI_LNC014862)
Source: RNAcentral
GCCAUGGCUUGAUUUGAUCAUGUUGAUUUCACCAAUUGAGAUAUUGGACCAAUCGUAAUGUUGGAUUGUGUCACCUGAUCAAUUUGAAUUGUACCUCAUGAAUUCUCUCUCCUCUAAUUGUCUCUCUCUACUUGAUUUUAUGAAAUCGAUGAAGAAACCUCGAUCCUAUCACUUCGAAUCCGAUUUGAUCUGAUAGUCAAACUUUGCAUCAUUUAGGUCCUAAUUAGAUUUUGAUUAGAUGAAAUUAGAUGAUCGGAUCCAAUCUAAACCGUUGAAAUAUGGUAUUCGUAUUCUUUCUAAUUAUUGAAAUUGAUUCUGUAUAGGAUUGUGGAUGUUUGAUCAUGGGAUAUCGCGAUAUGAUCUACGAACAAAAUUUUUGGAAGAAAAUUUAUAGAAUUAUGUGGAUUUAUUAGAAUACGUUUGAGGUAAGUAAUGUUUCACUUUUUCUAGAUUUAUCGGCAAAUUAUAAUGUAUUCUUCUGACAUGAUUUGUGAAACGAUGCAUGAAUUGGAUGAAUGGUAUUUUGUUAUGAAAAUAUCUUAUUUGAAAUGUUAUGAUGUAGCAUGAUUGAACAUAUUGAUUUCAUGAUGCAUUAUAUUGAUUGAUUUCGAUACUAUAUGAUUAUAUGUUUUAUUAUCGAAAUUAGAAUAUGAAACAUGAUUUAUGAAGAAUUAUGAUAUAAGAAAUAAUAAGAAUUGACAACCUGACUAUGUAAAGGACCCUGCCAAUGGGGGCAUGUACGUUGGCAAUUGAUUGUCCUGAGGAUUUAUGUCGUCAGCAAGACCAGCGACAUGUCGCCAGAGAGACCAGCGACAAACCGCCAGCGAGACCAGUGGUUCCAAAGGACAUGGCUGCCAGAUGAUUCGCAACCUACCGCAAGCAGAUACGCGGUAUUAUGAUCCUGCCACAGGAAAAAUAUGGUCAUAGCUCAUGGUUGACGAAAAGAAAUUGAAGAACAAAAGAAAUUGAAAUUUGGAA